AAACGACUCUCGGCAACGGAUAUCUCGGCUCACGCAAGCGAAAUGCGAUACUUGGUGUGAAUUGCAGAAUCCCGUGAACCAUCGAGUUUUUGAACGCAAGUUGCGCCCGAUGCCAUCCGGUUGAGGGCACGCCUGCCUGGGCGUCACGCA
RNAcentral lists this ribosomal RNA (150 nucleotides) under Youngia tenuicaulis. RNAcentral's name for it is "5.8S ribosomal RNA". It matches the Rfam family "5.8S ribosomal RNA". From Rfam's summary of the family: 5.8S ribosomal RNA (5.8S rRNA) is a component of the large subunit of the eukaryotic ribosome. It is transcribed by RNA polymerase I as part of the 45S precursor that also contains 18S and 28S rRNA. Functionally, it is thought that 5.8S rRNA may be involved in ribosome translocation. The record is from RNAcentral. Lineage: Eukaryota; Viridiplantae; Streptophyta; Magnoliopsida; Asterales; Asteraceae.